GUUAAAUAAACGAAGGCGGAAGUCCCAGAAGUCGAUCAUUACUGUGAAGGGAGAGGGCAGCAAAUACAUAGAAUCAUUAUUCUAAAGAGACACUUGACAAGUUCAGGCCCUGACCCCUGCUGGGUGGAGUGAGGUGAAUUUCCUUCCUGUUUCACGAAGGUCCUUCAUACAACAGCUCCUCCCUUCACCGGAAAUAGAGAUAAAAAUCGGAUGCAUCUACUCACUUCAUGAACAAAAUGAACAAUUACUUCCUUUACCAGUCUCACCACUAACAUACAACACGGGCUUCCUCAUGUGUUCCUCACGUCCAUGUGGAGCAGAAGCAGGAGAAGCUAAAGGACUUCCUCAAACAUUAGGCACACCUCCAGUAUGACCAUUGAUGGUUGUUUGUCAUGGCAACGGAUCUGGUUCAAGGGCGGAGACAAGCAUCUCGCAUGAGAAGGGGAGGUUACACUGUGAAUUAAGGCCUUGUCUAGUGGGUGUAUUUAUAAGUGGUGAAACCCGCCCAGCCCUGCAUGCCUCGGAUGCCAUGUAUGUUACCAGAGCUGUCACCAAAGGCCACAUACAUUCCCAAAGCCUUCAGCUUUAAAGGUAUGAGGUGGACCGUAAGAGUUGGCAACUACGGACUUCUGGGAUAAACUGCCAUACAGGGGCAAACCAAAUACACCUGACUCCAAACAUCUCAUCCCCUUCUGACCACUCUCAUCUCCAUAGAUGGUUCCAAGCUUGCAGCUGUUUCUAAAGGCGGGAACUCCUUUGAGUUUCAGCAGGACAUUAAUAUACAGGCCCCUCGUGAUUGUCCCUCUGCUAUCCCAGGCAGCUGUAGACUAGAGGUUAAGGGAGGACUCUAUCGCUCGGUCACCCCAACGAGGGAGUUCCGCUGUGGGAGGCCUGGCCUGACUCGUGAUGGGCAUGUAAAAAAAACGAUCAAAGCUCGACCAACAACUGGAGACUCACCACACACAUAAAGAGAAACAGAGAGUGAUCAAUAUGACAACGGUGUCAUGUGUCGGCCUGGGUUAUGUUAAAGAUAUAGCUUGAAGUGUACCGUUGUCAUUUCUGUGCUUGUGUGUAUUUUAUUAAAACAGAACGUUUGGGCGGGGCAUCAAAGGGCCUGGCCUUUUUUAAAAUAGCCAAUUGCCCUUUAGGUUGCGGCAGCCAUGGACUGUGAUUGCUUCUUGCUUGAAGCCGGGUGUAAAAAUAAUAAUCAUGAUAUACUUUAUUUUGCUUUCAUGAUUGUAAUUUUCAACAUUUGUUUACUUCUGUUACAUCACCAUGGCAACAAAAUCUUAACGCUCCAUAUGUUACAGGUAAGGUUAAAGUAUUUAUGAACUCCGAAAUGUUGUAAACAGACUUGGUUAUUUUAGAGUUUUGAUGACAUAAAAUGUUGUUACAAGGACAUCGGCCUUUUCCAAACAUAGGAGAGGUGUAUAGCACGGCCUCAUUCGUUACGUUCGCGUAAGGUUCACAUUCACUGGAAGCUCUGCAUUCUCAGCUGUUGGGAAUUCGCCGUCCAAAAUGAUUGUACUAAUGCCAUUUGGGCAAUGAUGGGUCCCUUACGACUAGAUUAAACAUGUGAUGUACAUU
This is a long non-coding RNA of Triplophysa dalaica, 1587 nucleotides long. RefSeq lists it as uncharacterized. NCBI's taxonomy places the organism in Eukaryota, Metazoa, Chordata, Actinopteri, Cypriniformes, Nemacheilidae. The record is from RefSeq and is a predicted model, not a curated record. The transcript is spliced from 6 exons.